ACGAAGGGUGCAAGCGUUACUCGGAAUUACUGGGCGUAAAGCAUGCGUAGGUGGUUCGUUAAGUCUGAUGUGAAAGCCCUGGGCUCAACCUGGGAAUGGCAUUGGAUACUGGCGAUCUAGAGUGCGGUAGAGGGCAGUGGAAUUCCCGGUGUAGCAGUGAAAUGCGUAGAGAUCGGGAGGAACAUCUGUGGCGAAGGCAGCUCGUUGGGACGUGACCGACGCUGAGACGCGAAAGCGUGGGGAGCAAACAGGA
This 253-nucleotide ribosomal RNA is filed under the name uncultured prokaryote. RNAcentral's name for it is "partial 16S ribosomal RNA". It matches the Rfam family "Bacterial small subunit ribosomal RNA", at positions 525 to 777 of the family's 1533-position model. The record is from RNAcentral.